RNAcentral lists this ribosomal RNA (497 nucleotides) under uncultured bacterium. RNAcentral's name for it is "partial 16S ribosomal RNA". It matches the Rfam family "Bacterial small subunit ribosomal RNA", at positions 28 to 507 of the family's 1533-position model. The record is from RNAcentral.
GAUGAACGCUGGCGGCGUGCCUAAUACAUGCAAGUCGAGCGAACGGACGAGAAGCUUGCUUUUCUGAUGUUAGCGGCGGACGGGUGAGUAACACGUGGAUAACCUACCUAUAAGACUGGGAUAACUUCGGGAAACCGGAGCUAAUACCGGAUAAUAUUUUGAACCGCAUGGUUCAAAAGUGGAAGACGGUCUUGCUGUCACUUAUAGAUGGAUCCGCGCUGCAUUAGCUAGUUGGUAAGGUAACGGCUUACCAAGGCAACGAUGCAUAGCCGACCUGAGAGGGUGAUCGGCCACACUGGAACUGAGACACGGUCCAGACUCCUACGGGAGGCAGUAGUAGGGAAUCUUCCGCAAAGGGCGAAAGCCUGACGGAGCAACGCCGCGUGAGUGAUGAAGGUCUUCGGAUCGUAAAACUCUGUUAUUAGGGAAGAACAUAUGUGUAAGUAACUGUGCACAUCUUGACGGUACCUAAUCAGAAAGCCACGGCUAACUACGUG